GCACGUUUGAAGACUAAUAUCCUCUUUGAAUCAGCGAAGUCAGGAGGCCUUGGACGGUGGAGAUUGAUUGAAGAUAAGGCAAUUUUGCUGGUUCAAGAUUUGCCAGCAUGCAGCGGUAAAGAUCUCAGAGGCACCGGAUACAGGCGCCGAGGCCCGUGCAAAGCGAAAUCAAUCAAUGAAGGAUCCCUGCGGAAACCAU
RNAcentral lists this long non-coding RNA (199 nucleotides) under Brachypodium distachyon (stiff brome). RNAcentral describes it as "long non-coding RNA (BDIS_LNC004582)". Lineage: Eukaryota; Viridiplantae; Streptophyta; Magnoliopsida; Poales; Poaceae. The record is from RNAcentral.